Molecule: ribosomal RNA, 458 nt
Filed under: uncultured bacterium
Lineage: Bacteria
Description: bacterial SSU rRNA
Rfam family: Bacterial small subunit ribosomal RNA
Source: RNAcentral
GAUGAACGUUGGCGGUACGCCUAAUACAUGCAAGUCGAACGGAGAUUGUAGCAAUACGGUCUUAGUGGCGAACGGGUGAGUAACGCGUUGGUGAUCUGCCUUGAAGUGUGGAAUAACGGUUCGAAAGAACCGCUAAUACCGCAUAGUCUCUCUUGUUUAGAAAUUAGAGAGUAAAGGAUUUAUCCGCUUCAAGAGGAGCCUGCGUCCCAUCAGCUAGUUGGUAGGGUAAAAGCCUACCAAGGCUAUGACGGGUAGGGGACCUGAGAGGGUGACCCCCCACAAUGGAACUGAAACACGGUCCAUACACCUACGGGUGGCAGCAGUAGGGAAUAUUAGUAAUGGAGGAAACUCUGAACUAGCGAUACCGCGUGCGCGAAGAAGGCCUUCGGGUUGUAAAGCGCUUUUUGAGAGGAUGAGGAAGGACGGUACUCUCAGAAUAAGUCUCGGCUAACUACGUG